AAGUAUUAUCUGUACACUCUUAUUCUUAUUAGGAAGUGGAUCUUACAUCUAUGAAUUGGAAUUAGGCUACUAUACUAUCUACAGUACCGAGCUCCGGUACUAUAGUGUUUGUUUUCGAUCUUAGGGCGUUCAAAUCAACGAUCCACACCGUUAAAUAUGAUCUAGGGUAUAUGAAUGUCUUAGGAAUAAAAUUUUAGUUUUUUUCGAUAUCGUUUACUUAGUAAAUAAAUUAUAUCAAAAUAGACGGUAAAAAUUGAAUAAUCUUUAAAAUUUGAGUAUAGGACUUUUAAAUUCAAGAUCAAGAAUGUUAACCUUAAUCUAUAUAGUUUAAAGUAUUUUCUAUCAAAAUUUGAAGAAAUUUAGAUUCUUCUACACCGUUAAAUUCCAAACUUGUCAUAAUAGCCAUUGAAAAUUGACAAUUUUAAAAUAGUUUGAUCAUAAAGUAAACUAUGUCGAAAAAAUAUAAAAUUUUAUUUCUAG
RNAcentral lists this long non-coding RNA (480 nucleotides) under Ananas comosus (pineapple). Its description in RNAcentral is "long non-coding RNA (ACOM_LNC027403)". Lineage: Eukaryota; Viridiplantae; Streptophyta; Magnoliopsida; Poales; Bromeliaceae. The record is from RNAcentral.